AGUAGACGGGUGGUGGGUAGUAUACCUUCUUCGGUGGUGGUGGAGAGUAGACGGGUGGUGGGUAGUAUACCUUCUUCGGUGGUGGUGGAGAGUAGACGGGUGGUGGGUAGUAUACCUUCUUCGGUGGUGGUGGUGAGUAGACGGGGGGUGGGUAGUAUACCUUCUUCGGUGGUGGUGGUGAGUAGACGGGAGGUGGGUAGUACACCUUCUUCGGUGGUGGUGGUGAGUAGACGGGAGGUGGGUAGUACACCUUCUUCGGUGGUGGUGGUGAGUAGACGGGAGGUGGGUAGUAUACCUUCUUUGGCGGUGGUGGUGAGUAGACUGGUGGUGGGUAGUAUACUUUCUUUGGUGGUGGAGGAGACUUAUAGACGGGUGGUGGAUAGUAUACCUUCUUGGGAGGUGGGGGAGACUUGUAGACUGGAGGUGGGUAGUAUACCUUCUUUGGUGGUGGAGGAGACUUAUAGACGGGAGGAGGGUAGUAUACCUUCUUGGGAGGUGGGGGAGACUUGUAGACGGGAGGUGGGUAGUACACCUUCUUGGGAGGUGGGGGAGACUUGUAGACGGGAGGUGGGUAGUACACCUUCUUGGGAGGCGGGGGAGACUUGUAGACGGGAGGUGGGUAAUACACCUUCUUAGGUGGCGGAGGAGACUUGUAGACGGGAGGUGGGUAAUAAACCUUCUUGGGUGGCGGAGGAGACUUGUAGACAGGAGGUGGGUAAUACACCUUCUUUGGUGGUGGUGGAGAGUAAACUGGUGGUGGAUAGUAAACCUUCUUGGGUGGUGGUGGAGAGUGAUACACUGGAGGUGGAUAGUAUGAUUUCUUGGGUGGUGGAGGAGAAUGGUAUACUGGAG
This 852-nucleotide long non-coding RNA is filed under the name Cucumis sativus (cucumber). RNAcentral's name for it is "long non-coding RNA (CSAT_LNC002210)". Lineage: Eukaryota; Viridiplantae; Streptophyta; Magnoliopsida; Cucurbitales; Cucurbitaceae. The record is from RNAcentral.